GACGAACGCUGGCGGCGUGCCUAAUACAUGCAAGUCGAGCGAUUAUUCUUGGACCUUGCCCUGAUUUAAAGAGAGGCGAACGGGUGCGUAACGCGGGGGAAAUCUGCCGUAAAGCGCGGGACAACAUUGGGAAACGAAUGCUAAUACCGCCUAAUAACGUUAAACAUAAGUUUCAAGUUUGAAAGAUGCUAUUGCAUCACUCAAAGAUGAUCCCGCGUUGUAUUAGCUAGUUGGUGAGGUAAAGGCUAACCAAGGCGAUGAUACAUAGCCGACCUGAGAGGGUGAUCGGCCACACUGGGACUGAGACACGGCCCAGACUCCUACGGGAGGCAGCAGUAGGGAAUCUUCGGCAAUGGACGAAAGUCUGACCGAGCAACGCCGCGUGAGUGAAGAAGGUUUUCGGAUCGUAAAACUCUGUUGGUAGAGAAGAACGUUGGUGAGAGUGGAAAGCUCAUCAAGUGACGGUAACUACCCAGAAAGGCACGGCUAACUACGUG
RNAcentral lists this ribosomal RNA (497 nucleotides) under uncultured bacterium. RNAcentral describes it as "partial 16S ribosomal RNA". It matches the Rfam family "Bacterial small subunit ribosomal RNA", at positions 28 to 507 of the family's 1533-position model. The record is from RNAcentral.